CCUACGGGUGGCAGCAGUGGGGAAUAUUGCACAAUGGGGGAAACCCUGAUGCAGCAACGCCGCGUGAAGGAAGACGGUUUUCGGAUUGUAAACUUCUGUUCUUAGUGAAGAAUAAUGACGUUAGCUAAGGAGCAAGCCACGGCUAACUACGUGCCAGCAGCCGCGGUAAGACGUAGGUGGCAACCGUUGUCCGGAAUUACUGGGUGUAAAGGGAGGGCAGGCGGGAAGCCAAGUCAGCUGUGAAAACUACGGGCUUAACUUGUAGACUGCAGUUGAAAUUGGUUUGCUAGAGUGAAGUAGGGGCUGGCGGAAUUCCUGGUGUAGCGGUGAAAUGCGUAGAUAUUCGGAGGAACACCGGUGGCGAAGGCGGCCAGCUGGGCUUCAACUGACGCUGAGGCCCGAAAGUGUGGGGAGCAAACAGGAUUAGAUACCCGGGUAGUC
Molecule: ribosomal RNA, 441 nt
Filed under: uncultured bacterium
Lineage: Bacteria
Description: partial 16S ribosomal RNA
Rfam family: Bacterial small subunit ribosomal RNA
Source: RNAcentral